This 273-nucleotide ribosomal RNA is filed under the name uncultured bacterium. Its description in RNAcentral is "partial 16S ribosomal RNA". It matches the Rfam family "Bacterial small subunit ribosomal RNA", at positions 524 to 796 of the family's 1533-position model. The record is from RNAcentral.
UACGUAGGACGCGAGCGUUAUCCGGAUUUACUGGGCGUAAAGCGUCUGUAGGCGGAUGAGUAAGUUGGAUGUGAAAGCUUCGGGCUUAACCCGGAGAGGCCAUUCAAUACUGCUCAACUAGAGGGCGUGAGAGGGGAGCGGAAUUUCCGGUGUAGCGGUAAAAUGCGCAGAUAUCGGGAGGAACACCAGUGGCGCAGGCGGCUCCCUGGUACGCACCUGACGCUGAGAGACGAAAGCUAGGGGAGCGAACAGGAUUAGAUACCCCUGUAGUCC